CAGAACGCAAACAUACAGGGCCUCACAGUUGGACCGACACAACACAAAACGCUAGCAUAUGCGGACGACCUGCUGUUUGUGGUCACACAUCCGGAGACCACCUUACCGGCGAUACAGGCAGAAUUUGAAGAAUAUGGGCUGAUCUCCAACCUUCAAAUAAACUACACUAAGUCGGAGAUCCUCAACCUCACCAUUGAGCACGCCCACAAACGGACACUUCAAAG
Molecule: non-coding RNA, 224 nt
Organism: Pelobates cultripes (western spadefoot toad)
Lineage: Eukaryota; Metazoa; Chordata; Amphibia; Anura; Pelobatidae
Source: the annotation of a GenBank genome assembly